UACGGGGGGGGCAAGCGUUGUUCGGAAUUACUGGGCGUAAAGGGCUCGUAGGCGGCCAACUAAGUCAGACGUGAAAUCCCUCGGCUUAACCGGGGAACUGCAUCUGACACUGGAUGGCUCGAGUUUGGGAGAGGGAUGCGGAAUUCCAGGUGUAGCGGUGAAAUGCGUAGAUAUCUGGAGGAACACCGGUGGCGAAGGCGGCAUCCUGGACCAACACUGACGCUGAUGAGCGAAAGCCAGGGGAGCAAACGGG
RNAcentral lists this ribosomal RNA (253 nucleotides) under uncultured bacterium. Its description in RNAcentral is "partial 16S ribosomal RNA". It matches the Rfam family "Bacterial small subunit ribosomal RNA", at positions 524 to 776 of the family's 1533-position model. The record is from RNAcentral.